AACGCUGGCGGCGUGCCUAAUACAUGCAAGUCGAGCGAGCGGAACCAACAGAUUUACUUCGGUAAUGACGUUGGGAAAGCGAGCGGCGGAUGGGUGAGUAACACGUGGGGAACCUGCCCCUAAGUCUGGGAUACCAUUUGGAAACAGGUGCUAAUACCGGAUAAUAAAGCAGAUCGCAUGAUCAGCUUUUGAAAGGCGGCGUAAGCUGUCGCUAAGGGAUGGCCCCGCGGUGCAUUAGCUAGUUGGUAAGGUAACGGCUUACCAAGGCGACGAUGCAUAGCCGAGUUGAGAGACUGAUCGGCCACAUUGGGACUGAGACACGGCCCAAACUCCUACGGGAGGCAGCAGUAGGGAAUCUUCCACAAUGGACGCAAGUCUGAUGGAGCAACGCCGCGUGAGUGAAGAAGGUUUUCGGAUCGUAAAGCUCUGUUGUUGGUGAAGAAGGAUAGAGGUAGUAACUGGCCUUUAUUUGACGGUAAUCAACCAGAAAGUCACGGCUAACUA
RNAcentral lists this ribosomal RNA (504 nucleotides) under Lactobacillus amylovorus. RNAcentral describes it as "bacterial SSU rRNA". It matches the Rfam family "Bacterial small subunit ribosomal RNA", at positions 32 to 503 of the family's 1533-position model. The record is from RNAcentral. Lineage: Bacteria; Bacillati; Bacillota; Bacilli; Lactobacillales; Lactobacillaceae.